RNAcentral lists this ribosomal RNA (2888 nucleotides) under Vibrio parahaemolyticus 949. Its description in RNAcentral is "bacterial LSU rRNA". It matches the Rfam family "Bacterial large subunit ribosomal RNA". The record is from RNAcentral. Lineage: Bacteria; Pseudomonadati; Pseudomonadota; Gammaproteobacteria; Vibrionales; Vibrionaceae.
UUAAGUGACUAAGCGUACACGGUGGAUGCCUUGGCAGUCAGAGGCGAUGAAAGACGUAGUAACUUGCGAUAAGCCCAGAUUAGGUAGUAACAACCAUUUGAGUCUGGGAUUUCUGAAUGGGGAAACCCACGUGCAUAAGCACGUAUCCUUACCUGAAUACAUAGGGUAAGGAGGCGAACCGGGGGAACUGAAACAUCUAAGUACCCCGAGGAAAAGAAAUCAACCGAGAUUCCGAAAGUAGCGGCGAGCGAAAUUGGACUAGCCCUUAAGCUUUACACGCGUUAGACGAACGGUCUGGAAAGUCCGACGAUACAGGGUGAUAGUCCCGUAGUUGACGACGUGUGUUCAGUGAAAUCGAGUAGGGCGGGACACGUGAUAUCCUGUCUGAAUAUGGGGGGACCAUCCUCCAAGGCUAAAUACUACUGACUGACCGAUAGUGAACCAGUACCGUGAGGGAAAGGCGAAAAGAACCCCUGUGAGGGGAGUGAAAUAGAACCUGAAACCGUGUACGUACAAGCAGUAGGAGCAGGCUUUGUCCUGUGACUGCGUACCUUUUGUAUAAUGGGUCAGCGACUUAUAUUCAGUGGCAAGGUUAACCAUCUAGGGGAGCCGUAGGGAAACCGAGUCUUAACUGGGCGUUCAGUCUCUGGAUAUAGACCCGAAACCAGGUGAUCUAGCCAUGGGCAGGUUGAAGGUUGAGUAACAUCAACUGGAGGACCGAACCGACUAAUGUUGAAAAAUUAGCGGAUGACUUGUGGCUAGGGGUGAAAGGCCAAUCAAACCUGGAGAUAGCUGGUUCUCCCCGAAAGCUAUUUAGGUAGCGCCUCGGACGAAUACUACUGGGGGUAGAGCACUGUUAAGGCUAGGGGGUCAUCCCGACUUACCAACCCUUUGCAAACUCCGAAUACCAGUAAGUACUAUCCGGGAGACACACGGCGGGUGCUAACGUCCGUCGUGGAGAGGGAAACAACCCAGACCGCCAGCUAAGGUCCCAAAUUACUACUAAGUGGGAAACGAUGUGGGAAGGCUCAGACAGCCAGGAUGUUGGCUUAGAAGCAGCCAUCAUUUAAAGAAAGCGUAAUAGCUCACUGGUCGAGUCGGCCUGCGCGGAAGAUGUAACGGGGCUAAGUAGUAAACCGAAGCUGCGGCAAUGUGCUUUUGCACAUUGGGUAGGGGAGCGUUCUGUAAGCGGUUGAAGGUGUGUGGUAACGCAUGCUGGACGUAUCAGAAGUGCGAAUGCUGACAUGAGUAACGAUAAAGGGGGUGAAAAACCUCCUCGCCGGAAGACCAAGGGUUCCUGUCCAACGUUAAUCGGGGCAGGGUAAGUCGACCCCUAAGGCGAGGCCGAAAGGCGUAGUCGAUGGGAAACGGGUUAAUAUUCCCGUACUUCUUACAAUUGCGAUGGGGGACGGAGAAGGCUAGGUGGGCCUGGCGACGGUUGUCCAGGUUCAAGUGCGUAGGCUUAAGAGUUAGGUAAAUCCGGCUCUUUUUAAGGCUGAGACACGACGUCGAGCAUCUACGGAUGUGAAGUCAUUGAUGCCAUGCUUCCAGGAAAAGCCUCUAAGCUUCAGAUUGUAAGGAAUCGUACCCCAAACCGACACAGGUGGUCGGGUAGAGAAUACCAAGGCGCUUGAGAGAACUCGGGUGAAGGAACUAGGCAAAAUGGUACCGUAACUUCGGGAGAAGGUACGCUCUCGACGGUGAAGUCCCUCGCGGAUGGAGCUAUUGAGAGUCGCAGAUACCAGGUGGCUGCAACUGUUUAUUAAAAACACAGCACUGUGCAAAAUCGUAAGAUGACGUAUACGGUGUGACGCCUGCCCGGUGCCGGAAGGUUAAUUGAUGGGGUUAGACUUCGGUCGAAGCUCUUGAUCGAAGCCCCGGUAAACGGCGGCCGUAACUAUAACGGUCCUAAGGUAGCGAAAUUCCUUGUCGGGUAAGUUCCGACCUGCACGAAUGGCGUAAUGAUGGCCACGCUGUCUCCACCCGAGACUCAGUGAAAUUGAAAUCGCUGUGAAGAUGCAGUGUACCCGCGGCUAGACGGAAAGACCCCGUGAACCUUUACUACAGCUUGGCACUGAACAUUGACCCUACAUGUGUAGGAUAGGUGGGAGGCUUUGAAGCACGUACGCCAGUAUGUGUGGAGCCGUCCUUGAAAUACCACCCUUGUAGUGUUGAUGUUCUAACGUCGACCCCUUAUCGGGGUUGCGGACAGUGCCUGGUGGGUAGUUUGACUGGGGCGGUCUCCUCCCAAAGAGUAACGGAGGAGCACGAAGGUGGGCUAAUCACGGUUGGACAUCGUGAGGUUAGUGCAAUGGCAUAAGCCCGCUUGACUGCGAGAAUGACAAUUCGAGCAGGUGCGAAAGCAGGUCAUAGUGAUCCGGUGGUUCUGAAUGGAAGGGCCAUCGCUCAACGGAUAAAAGGUACUCCGGGGAUAACAGGCUGAUACCGCCCAAGAGUUCAUAUCGACGGCGGUGUUUGGCACCUCGAUGUCGGCUCAUCACAUCCUGGGGCUGAAGUCGGUCCCAAGGGUAUGGCUGUUCGCCAUUUAAAGUGGUACGCGAGCUGGGUUUAGAACGUCGUGAGACAGUUCGGUCCCUAUCUGCCGUGGGCGUUGGAAGAUUGAAGGGGGCUGCUCCUAGUACGAGAGGACCGGAGUGGACGAACCUCUGGUGUUCGGGUUGUGUCGCCAGACGCAUUGCCCGGUAGCUAAGUUCGGAAUCGAUAACCGCUGAAAGCAUCUAAGCGGGAAGCGAGCCCUGAGAUGAGUCUUCCCUGAUACUUUAAGUAUCCUAAAGGGUUGUCGGAGACUACGACGUUGAUAGGUCAGGUGUGUAAGUGCUGUGAGGCAUUGAGCUAACUGAUACUAAUUGCCCGUGAGGCUUAACCAU